This is a long non-coding RNA of Mustela lutreola (European mink), 538 nucleotides long. RefSeq lists it as uncharacterized. The record is from RefSeq and is a predicted model, not a curated record. Lineage: Eukaryota; Metazoa; Chordata; Mammalia; Carnivora; Mustelidae. The transcript is spliced from 2 exons.
UCUACUCAUGGAAAGAGGGUCAGGGUUAGGCUAAGAAGCAAGGGUCCCGUGACAGCUUUUCCUCCCAGCCACUCCUGCCACGCUCUCCCCCCACCCCCACCAACCAAGCCCCAGGAGUGCCACACAUCACUCAUGCACUUUUCCCCAGCGACCUGAUUCUUGGUGCUGGCUGUCCUCCAGGAUCUGGUAGGGGGUGAUCAGAGAUCAGGACUUCCUCAGGAUCCCCAGGCACCCGGUGAGGACCAAAGACUCGGGGCCCCCCUUUACCCAGGGGAUGAAGAGCUGGCGCGAGGCUGGGGAGCCCGUGGUGCCCGAGCAAGUGCGUGAAGACGUGAGACGUUUACCGGUGUCUGCGACCAGGGCAGCAAGAAGCAAGGUGUCACUCGCCCCGUCCAGGGACAAGAGCCAGAUGGAAGGAGAAGUGCUGGGGGCUUUGAUAUUUUGUGCCUCUGCUGUCCGCCUCUUUUAAGAACGUCCGCAUACCGUCCUCAAAUCAGACGGGGCUGGGAUUACGAGCAUUAAAUAUAAAAAAAUGGUA